CAGUUGGGUCUAGGGGUCAGGA
This 22-nucleotide microRNA is filed under the name Homo sapiens (human). RNAcentral's name for it is "hsa-miR-4259". The record is from miRBase by way of RNAcentral. Lineage: Eukaryota; Metazoa; Chordata; Mammalia; Primates; Hominidae.